This 73-nucleotide transfer RNA is filed under the name Stegodyphus mimosarum. It matches the Rfam family "tRNA". From Rfam's summary of the family: Transfer RNA (tRNA) molecules are approximately 80 nucleotides in length. Their secondary structure includes four short double-helical elements and three loops (D, anti-codon, and T loops). Lineage: Eukaryota; Metazoa; Arthropoda; Arachnida; Araneae; Eresidae. The record is from Rfam by way of RNAcentral.
GCCUUCGUUGUGUAGUGGUCAGCACGAUCGGCCCGUAUUCGAGAGGUUUGUGAUUCGAGUCCCGUCGAGGGCA